This is a long non-coding RNA of Rhopalosiphum padi (bird cherry-oat aphid), 2398 nucleotides long. RefSeq lists it as uncharacterized. The record is from RefSeq and is a predicted model, not a curated record. The transcript is spliced from 3 exons. NCBI's taxonomy places the organism in Eukaryota, Metazoa, Arthropoda, Insecta, Hemiptera, Aphididae.
GUUCUGCUGUAUAGUAGAAAUGAAGAGUAGGUCACUAUAAUGGAUGUGUUAAAUUUGAAUGCAAAUACAAGUUUUAUUGUAUACGAAAAACGAUUUUGAACGGAGUUGAUUUGUCAGUCUAAGAUAAUUAGUAGGAUAUAUUAUAUUAUUACCCAUAUUUAAAUUGUAAUAUAUCGUUUUUUUACGCGAUUUCGUAAAAAAAUUAAAUUUCAUGCGCUCAUAAAUUUUUUUGGUACUGGUCUGUUAUCGCCCCGCCACGGGAACGAAAAAUUUUAUCGCCCCGCCAAUUACGAACGCGGCUACACUAUUUAAAACGUAAAUAGAAAUUGAAAUAUAUAUAUAUAUAGGUACAUAUUAUAGUGUAUAGAAAUAUUAGAAAAAAAUCAUCAAUUUAAUUCGUUAAUUCAUUAAUUAUUUCCAAAAUUAUAUCAUUAAAAAAAAUAUGUAUAAGUAUAUAAAAUAAAUCUAAAAUUUAAUAAAAUUUAAAAAUAUAUAGAUAAAAUAAAAUAAAAUUACAAUUAGUAAUUACCGUAUCAUGAUGGAGGCUAAAAUGCUGAGAUAUCCAAUAAAAUCUGUUCAAAUGGAUCAUUUUGAUUGGUAAGUUUUAAUCGCCACAUAAACUCUGCCAUGUAUGAGUCAAGGAAAUUUCGAGCUGUUCCGCGACGUCGUUUGUUGCCCCAUUUUGCAGCACCCCACAUUCUUUCCACGUUUUGGGUGUGAACUCCAGUAGAGGGGUCGACAAAGUUGUACUUGUGAUUGACUUUAUUAUGUUGAUAACCUAAUUGUUGAAUUUUAUUGUAUGAUCUCCAACUGUCCGAAAAUAUUAUGGACCCUGGGCGAAUAAACUUUUGGAUUAAUGGUAGUAAAGUUUUUUCAGACCGAUCAGGUACACACACAAUGAAACAUUCUUUAGUUUCUCGGCAAAUGCCUCCAAAUACCCACUGUUGAGGAAGUAUACGACCUGCAUUGUUUUUUCUACGUACAAAAAGGCUUUCGUCAAUUUCCACAAUUAAAUUAGGACCACCAAUUUCUUUAUUACCAAUUUCAAUUUUCCAAACGCACACUUCACGUAAAUAGUUAUUCCAGUCAACAACGGCGCUUUUACUCAUUCCAAACUCACGUUUACAAUACGAUACAGAGAUCAUUUCAUAAGCCCAGCAGUAUAUGUAGUAUACUAUUGUAUGUAUUGGUAAUCUUGAACCACUCAGCCAAUUGUUUGUUCUUAUACCUUUUUCUUUUCGGCAAGUUCUUCUCUGACAACGCCACCGAGAUCCUUUUAUAAUCAUUUUAUGGUCAUUUUCGCACUUUUGAGUUUGUAAUAAAACAUUUUUCGUUUGGAGAAAAUUAAUAGCAGAAUCUUCAUUAGAAACUUCGGAAUACAAAUCUUUUAAAUUCAUUUUUCAACUACUGCAAUAAAUAUUUCGACACUGAUACGGGCAGAGCUUCAGACAUACUGGACAUACUGCUAAGUAAAAUUACCUGAACUAAUAAAAUAAAGCGAUGAAGCCUCAAUUGUCGUAAAUAUAAAUAAAAUAAUGUUUUGGUAAACACUAUAUGAUCUGUGUACUUCAUAGGAUUUUAAUACAUAAAAAUCAAUCAAAACAUAAUAGUGUGAUUACUACUCAUUAUAAAUAAUAUUAUUUUUCGUUAAUUGAACGUUUUAUUUGAUAUUUUAUAGUUAUUUUUUAAAAUUGAAUUUUAAGUUAUUAGAUAUUGAAAAGAAUUGAUCAAAAGUCGCUCAAUUCAUGAAAUAUUUAAAUAGUUUUUUUUUUUUUUUAUAGGUACAUACCAUCAGUAGCAUCAUGCCAAUUUAGCUCUCUAGUUAAAUAUCCAUCAGUGCAGUGUGAACAUUGUAUCAAAAACUCCUUUAUUGUAAUGACCCCAGUACUGAGUAAAGCUGUAGAAUUUUUUAUACGCAUAGAGUUCAAAAUGUACUUAGACUUAAUGCUUCUACUUGUCGUUAGUCCUGCUGCUAAUUGGGAGACAACAAUAUGCUGUUUCACUGCAAUAUUUUUGAGAUUUUAUAAGAAUGAAAUGACAACUCACCAAGCAUUCUCCAUAAAUUUGGGUGAGCAACUUGAAAAGUUUGCUUCAGAGUGGAGUGAAAACUCUCGACAUUGUUGUUAGUGCGGCGAGGUUGGCCAUACACUGAAAAACAAUCUGGGCCUUUUCUAUUUCUAUACAGGUACAAUAUAAUUUACCUAGACAUAUAAGUGAAGAAUCUGGGUAAUAGCACUCCAUUAUUUUGAGCAUGGUCUUUGAUUUCUUGAAACCCUAUUUCUAUUUGAUGUGCAGGUUAUAAAGCCAAAACUGCACACAUCUUCAAGCACAUCUUUGCCUCUCUAUUCUGUUGUAUGUAACGUGAGUAGCCCAUUUUCUUUAUGUUUUUUUGUAAACU